ACGGGUGAGUAAUGCCUAGGAAUCUGCCUGGUAGUGGGGGAUAACGUUCCGAAAGGAACGCUAAUACCGCAUACGUCCUACGGGAGAAAGCAGGGGACCUUCGGGCCUUGCGCUAUCAGAUGAGCCUAGGUCGGAUUAGCUAGUUGGUGAGGUAAUGGCCCACCAAGGCGACGAUCCGUAACUGGUCUGAGAGGAUGAUCAGUCACACUGGAACUGAGACACGGUCCAGACUCCUACGGGAGGCAGCAGUGGGGAAUAUUGGACAAUGGGCGAAAGCCUGAUCCAGCCAUGCCGCGUGUGUGAAGAAGGUCUUCGGAUUGUAAAGCACUUUAAGUUGGGAGGAAGGGCAUUAACCUAAUACGUUAGUGUUUUGACGUUACCGACAGAAUAAGCACCGGCUAACUUCGUGCCAGCAGCCGCGGUAAUACGAAGGGUGCAAGCGUUAAUCGGAAUUACUGGGCGUAAAGCGCGCGUAGGUGGUUCGUUAAGUUGGAUGUGAAA
This 501-nucleotide ribosomal RNA is filed under the name Pseudomonas sp. WH383. RNAcentral describes it as "bacterial SSU rRNA". It matches the Rfam family "Bacterial small subunit ribosomal RNA", at positions 102 to 599 of the family's 1533-position model. Lineage: Bacteria; Pseudomonadati; Pseudomonadota; Gammaproteobacteria; Pseudomonadales; Pseudomonadaceae. The record is from RNAcentral.